AGAGUUUGAUCAUGGCUCAGAUUGAACGCUGGCGGCAGGCCUAACACAUGCAAGUCGAACGGUAACAGGAAGCAGCUUGCUGCUUCGCUGACGAGUGGCGGACGGGUGAGUAAUGUCUGGGAAACUGCCUGAUGGAGGGGGAUAACUACUGGAAACGGUGGCUAAUACCGCAUAAUGUCGCAGGACCAAAGAGGGGGACCUUCGGGCCUCUUGCCAUCAGAUGUGCCCAGAUGGGAUUAGCUUGUUGGUGAGGUAACGGCUCACCAAGGCGACGAUCCCUAGCUGGUCUGAGAGGAUGACCAGCCACACUGGAACUGAGACACGGUCCAGACUCCUACGGGAGGCAGCAGUGGGGAAUAUUGCACAAUGGGCGCAAGCCUGAUGCAGCCAUGCCGCGUGUAUGAAGAAGGCCUUCGGGUUGUAAAGUACUUUCAGCGGGGAGGAAGGGGAUAAGGCUAAUAACCUUGUUCAUUGACGUUACCCGCAGAAGAAGCACCGGCUAACUCCGUGCCAGCAGCCGCGGUAAUACGGAGGGUGCAAGCGUUAAUCGGAAUUACUGGGCGUAAAGCGCACGCAGGCGGUCUGUCAAGUCGGAUGUGAAAUCCCCGGGCUCAACCUGGGAACUGCAUUCGAAACUGGCAGGCUUGAGUCUUGUAGAGGGGGGUAGAAUUCCAGGUGUAGCGGUGAAAUGCGUAGAGAUCUGGAGGAAUACCGGUGGCGAAGGCGGCUCCCUGGACAAAGACUGACGCUCAGGUGCGAAAGCGUGGGGAGCAAACAGGAUUAGAUACCCUGGUAGUCCACGCCGUAAACGAUGUCUACUUGGAGGUUGUGCCCUUGAGGCGUGGCUUCCGGAGCUAACGCGUUAAGUAGACCGCCUGGGGAGUACGGCCGCAAGGUUAAAACUCAAAUGAAUUGACGGGGGCCCGCACAAGCGGUGGAGCAUGUGGUUUAAUUCGAUGCAACGCGAAGAACCUUACCUGGUCUUGACAUCCACAGAACUUUCCAGAGAUGGAUUGGUGCCUUCGGGAACUGUGAGACAGGUGCUGCAUGGCUGUCGUCAGCUCGUGUUGUGAAAUGUUGGGUUAAGUCCCGCAACGAGCGCAACCCUUAUCCUUUGUUGCCAGCGGUCCGGCCGGGAACUCAAAGGAGACUGCCAGUGAUAAACUGGAGGAAGGUGGGGAUGACGUCAAGUCAUCAUGGCCCUUACGACCAGGGCUACACACGUGCUACAAUGGCGCAUACAAAGAGAAGCGACCUCGCGAGAGCAAGCGGACCUCAUAAAGUGCGUCGUAGUCCGGACUGGAGUCUGCAACUCGACUCCAUGAAGUCGGAAUCGCUAGUAAUCGUGGAUCAGAAUGCCACGGUGAAUACGUUCCCGGGCCUUGUACACACCGCCCGUCACACCAUGGGAGUGGGUUGCAAAAGAAGUAGGUAGCUUAACCUUCGGGAGGGCGCUUACCACUUUGUGAUUCAUGACUGGGGUGAAGUCGUAACAAGGUAACCGUAGGGGAACCUGCGGUUGGAUCACCU
RNAcentral lists this ribosomal RNA (1530 nucleotides) under Salmonella enterica subsp. arizonae. RNAcentral's name for it is "bacterial SSU rRNA". It matches the Rfam family "Bacterial small subunit ribosomal RNA". Lineage: Bacteria; Pseudomonadati; Pseudomonadota; Gammaproteobacteria; Enterobacterales; Enterobacteriaceae. The record is from RNAcentral.